CCGCUCCAGGACUGCUUCCCUACGCCGAUCUCUGCCCAGGACUACUUCCCCUCGCUAGCUGCCGCUCCGGGAUUUGCCUCUUGGGGCUCGCCAGCUCCUCCCUUCCCCCUUCGGAUCCAAAACACAGGGUUCAAGUAGCUGCAGCUGCACGUGUGUUCACCCUGGAUACUGGGAGUAUUCCUGACUUCCGACAGUGCACAGGAAUGAUGUGACGGGAGUGCAGCAUAGCACAGCACAAUGAAGUGAAAAAAGUUGGAUUCAAAGCCCAUUCAGAAUGAAGUAUUUCUGAGAUCCCUGCUUAGACGAGUAUCCCGGAAUACACCCUUCUGGAGAGUGGUCAGUGGUGAUAAACCCAUUCAAGCU
Long non-coding RNA from Rhincodon typus (whale shark), 363 nucleotides. RefSeq lists it as uncharacterized. The transcript is spliced from 3 exons. NCBI's taxonomy places the organism in Eukaryota, Metazoa, Chordata, Chondrichthyes, Orectolobiformes, Rhincodontidae. The record is from RefSeq and is a predicted model, not a curated record.